Culex quinquefasciatus (southern house mosquito) is the source of this 3723-nucleotide RNA transcript. RefSeq lists it as uncharacterized. The record is from RefSeq and is a predicted model, not a curated record. The transcript has 3 exons. Lineage: Eukaryota; Metazoa; Arthropoda; Insecta; Diptera; Culicidae.
UAUCGUUCGUUCUUUUUGGCCAGCGGAAUCAACUUGGUUCCUGGACGAAGAUUUACUUUUCGGAACGGACUUCCGGAAAACCUCAGUAUUCAAAGGGUAAGAUUUGAUUACAACUUUCUGGGUCUGUUUUGAUCCUUUUAUUUUUUAGGUUAGCACUUUUCCAUCUUGAAAUCAACCCGAUACUGCCAACGUUUGGUCGUAGCUCCGGCAUGCCGCUCGAGGGCGCGGUCCUGCCACCGACCCUACCGGAACGAUCCCCGCAGAGAGUGGUUAAAGCUGGCAACGACCAUGUGCGUUCCGCCAUCGACCAGCUGCUGUUCCAGCGGUUGGACAAGAUCGAGUCGAAUGUACAUCCGGCCGCCCGCGAGCGAAAGGUGAGUCCACUUAGGACCAUUGAGAUAGUUUUUGAAAGAUGUGCCUUUCGUCCACAUGAACGAAGUGGAGUGGACGCAUCUUCCGCAUUUCGACGACCGGAAAGCAACCGUCCCGGUCGCCGCAGGACGUCACCUCAUCGACGCAGCACUUCUGCACAGUCGCAUCCCGUCGAGAACGGAUUUCCGACGUACGUAUCGCCCGAGCAAGCACAAUCUUAGCAGCAACAAUAUCGAGCCAGUACCGACAACAUGUUCCAGCGAUAACAGCAGCAGCUUGGCGGUUACAUAAGGUGAACGUUAAACCGAACAUUUCGGAGUUGAUUAACCCGGCGAACAUGCUCGGAACCGCAAUGAUCAACCCGAGCCGUUCUUCGACUCGCUCACGAUGGUGUACCAAGUGACCAGGAAGCGCGGUCGGAUCAAUGAGGUUGGGGGAAGCGCACUGCGAGAUCUUCUCCGUUGACACGGAUCACCGGUUGGUGGUGCCCUGGCAGGACAUUCGCUACCUGCCGCAGGCGCUCUGCGUCGAGCCGGCCUUCUACGUUGAUGCACGUGCAACCGUUCAAGCAGCACGGCUACCGGUGGACGGACGAAGUCAAGCAGUACUUUAACUGGACGGCCAGCGUGUAGUACGUUUUAAGCGUUUGUCGAGGACCGACUGCUGGAGGAGAGCUCCUACGAGAUUGUCAUGAAGCGGCACGACAUUUGCGUCAACGGGUCGAUGGUGAAGGAGGGAUUCGCCGUGUCGAGUGGGUCCGAAUCGGCGGUCGUCGAGCGGAUCAAGGAGGUCAUUCCGUAGGAAGAUGAUGAGGGGCGGUUGUGGUUGUGAGGGUGGGACGGUCGAGCAAAACUCGGUUGAGGAAGCAGGAAUCGAACGCUGCGCAGUCAUAGUGCGACUUCGGAAGGCCAGCAGCGGACCAAGUUACGGCUGGCGGUGUCGAUUUUACGGUUGGUCGAUCCGGGUGAGUUGACGUGACGUUGCAGCACGCGACGGGGAUCGAGCGAAUGCAGAAGGAAAUCCAGAACGUGGUGGAGGACAAGGAGCUGGGUGACAAGACGGACUGGAAGAAAAGCAAGAACUGUUUGGUGUUUCCGACAAUGGUUUCGAAGCGUCCGGACAAGAAUGGGCACAUUGCAUGCGAGUACUACCGGGCGCAGGUCAUUGACGAUCUCGACGACAGCACGUUCACCGUGUUCCUGAUCGACUUAACGUUGAGGCAGAACCAUCCGGCUGCUAUUCGGAGAUUCCUGGCGUGCGUUGGUCCCAUUGAAAAUUAACAGACGUGGAGUUCGUCGGCCUUAGACACGUUCAAGGUAACGUGCGACAAGUUCAAGCGCUUCUCCAUCUCGCUGCACGGACCCAGCGUUCAAGGCGCCCUCCCCGUCAUUCUGUAGGGCCUGACCGCGUAAAAUGUCAAGGCGUCGUCUCCGGCUUGGUCAGUACGGCUAAGUCCACCUCAAGGAGAAGUUUAAGCCCCUGGCGGAGACGGCCUCCAUCGCAGAAGAACUCCAGCAUUACCAUGAAUCCUUUGCCAAGAAGGAUUGACGUGGACGUGGACAUGAAGGAUGAAAAACCUGAUCCUCAGCAGUAGGAAGACGACAGCCUGACGCACUUGUGCGGAACCUACCAGGACGACAUUACGGACGAGCACACGCCAAUCGACCGAUGGCUCCCAGCCAAACCCAUCGAAAAGACCAUCUUCGUAGGCAAACCCGGCUACGUGGACAACAAGGCCUCAUCUACCUGGAGCAGGAACCGGUGGUGAACGCCCUGCGUAAGGUAAUCAACGCGAAGUUCGCCGACAGCAGCGCAACCUACAAGUUCUACUCGGACAACGAACCGUGCAUAGCCAAGUUCCACCAGGACAACAAGUUCUACCGCGCGAUCGUCCGCAAAGCCAUCAGCUGUCGCCGCUACAAGGUCCAGUUCAUCGACUAUGGCAACAUCGAAGAGGUGGAUAUUGCAGAUCUGCGCAAGAACGUCAACUGCGGGCGCGUCCCCAUCCAGAUGAACAGCUACCGCCUCACGAACGUCGCCCCAAAUAAGGCAACACCUGGCCGACGGAAGUCCUCGACACGCUGCAUUCACUAAUCGUUGACAACCAGUGCCUAAUCCGCGUUGACAUGGACGCGGACGCGGCCGGCGUUGUUUUCCUAGAGUGCAGGAACGCGAUUUGCGUGAGCACCGAACCAUCCCGUCCAGUCGAAUGAGGUGUUUGAUUCAAUCUGCGAUGAUGAGUAGACCGACGCGAUCAAAACGACAGACGACGCCAACGACAAGGAAUACCCGGUAGCUUCGGAGAACUAAUCCGAUGCGGGACAAUUCGGGAGCAAGGCAGGUAUGAGUUGGUUUAGUUCUUAUGAAUGUUUUUCAAUAUUUUCUGUUACUUUCAGACUGGGGACACUACAAGCAGUUUUUAAGUGCCGUUGGCGAGACCAGAACUAAGACAGAAAUGCUAGAGCUCACAUACGGAACGUCGCAAGGUACUUGCUUGUGGCGCUCUCGUUCCAUAUUAGGAUCUUAAACCACCGAGCAUGCCAGCGCAACUCAACCUCUUUUGCUGAGCUUGCUCCGGUCAGCGUCCACGGCAGGACCAAGCUGACAACGUAUUUCAACCUGAUGACGUACACGUUGAUGGACUACACCUCCGCGUCUUCUGGGAGCUAUCAACCCGCAGCCCUUAGAAUCGUCCGUUCCGACGCGACCACAACAAGCAGUCGCUGCUGGAACCUGGUACCUGGCCAUGAUCGACUGCCCUGAACACGCGCUCCUCGGGGGCAACCUUCAGGAAGUUAAUUACUUAGUUGCCCGAAACCAAACCAGGUUUUCGACUUUCUGGACCCAACAGUACCGACUAUGACAACCGGAGCCAUGCUGCCGUGGGCUGCGGAUGUGCUGCCAGCACAGUAGAUUCCUUCCGCGUCAAAUGGCCGUCCCCACCAGAAUCUGCACUGUGCCUUUCAUCAAAUUAUCCGGCGACGAACCAGAUGGCUCAACUUCAAAAGCGUAUAGGAGGCGUGCGUCUCCUGAUUAGUUAAAAUUUCUAGCACUAAUGUUUUUUUUUUCAAAAUAAACGUUUUAAAAUUUAAUCUUUUUUAAAAUGAAAACUCAAGAAAACAACUUUUGUCUAUUCAACAACAGGUGGCAGCACAAUAUUCCCGCUAUUCAAGAGCUUUCCAUUUUUGCCACCAGGGGGCUACUGCCGAAUCAAAAUUUACACAUUGGAUGCGUUUCUGCACAGAAUCCAGCCAAUGUGUUCCGGGCUGUUAACACGGCGCGAUGGUUCAAGCGUGGUCUUGUGCGAAAAUGUUUGGAUUCUACACUUUUUGGUGUAAUUCUUAUCUUCAG